UGGGGAAUUUUGGACAAUGGGCGAAAGCCUGAUCCAGCAAUGCCGCGUGUGUGAAGAAGGCCUUCGGGUUGUAAAGCACUUUUGUCCGGAAAGAAAUCCUUGGCUCUAAUACAGUCGGGGGAUGACGGUACCGGAAGAAUAAGCACCGGCUAACUACGUGCCAGCAGCCGCGGUAAUACGUAGGGUGCAAGCGUUAAUCGGAAUUACUGGGCGUAAAGCGUGCGCAGGCGGUUUGCUAAGACCGAUGUGAAAUCCCCGGGCUCAACCUGGGAACUGCAUUGGUGACUGGCAGGCUAGAGUAUGGCAGAGGGGGGUAGAAUUCCACGUGUAGCAGUGAAAUGCGUAGAGAUGUGGAGGAAUACCGAUGGCGAAGGCAGCCCCCUGGGCCAAAUACUGACGCUCAUGCACGAAAGCGUGGGGAGCAAACAGGAUUAGAUACCCUGGUAGUCCACGCCCUAAACGAUGUCAACUAGUUGUUGGGGAUUCAUUUCCUUAGUAACGUAGCUAACGCGUGAAGUUGACCGCCUGGGGAGUACGGUCGCAAGAUUAAAACUCAAAGGAAUUGACGGGGUCAUAGCUG
Molecule: ribosomal RNA, 580 nt
Filed under: uncultured bacterium
Lineage: Bacteria
Description: partial 16S ribosomal RNA
Rfam family: Bacterial small subunit ribosomal RNA
Source: RNAcentral